This 600-nucleotide ribosomal RNA is filed under the name uncultured bacterium. RNAcentral's name for it is "bacterial SSU rRNA". It matches the Rfam family "Bacterial small subunit ribosomal RNA", at positions 107 to 750 of the family's 1533-position model. The record is from RNAcentral.
UGAGUACGCGUGGGAUCUGCCCGUCGAGAAUAACCCUGGGAACUAGCUAAAACGGAUAAGCCCCGCGAGGGGGAAGUUUACGCCGAAGGAGGAGCCCGCGUCCGAUAGCUAGUUGUGAGUAAGAGCUCACAAGGCGACGAUCGGUAGCUGGUCUGAGAGGACGAUCAGCCACACUGGGACUGAGACACGGCCAGACUCCUACGGGAGGCAGCAGUGGGGAAUAUUGGACAAUGGGCGCAAGCCUGAUCCAGCCAUGCCGCGUGAGUGAUGAAGGCCUUCGGGUUGUAAAGCUCUUUUGGCGGGGACGAUGAUGACGGUACCCGCAGAAUAAGCCCCGGCAAACUUCGUGCCAGCAGCCGCGGUAAGACGAAGGGGGCAAGCGUUGUUCGGAAUUACUGGGCGUAAAGGGCGCGUAGCGGUUCUUUAAUCAGGCGUGAAAGCCCUGGGCUCAAACCUGGGAGUGGCGCUUGAUAACUGGGGGACUAGAGAGUGGGAGAGGUUGGUGGAAUUCCCCAGUGUAAAGGGUUGAAAUUCCGUAGAUUUUGGGGAAGAACACCGGUGGGGAAAGGGGGGCAACUGGACCCAUUCUGGAACGCUGAG